This 479-nucleotide long non-coding RNA is filed under the name Mustela putorius furo (domestic ferret). RNAcentral describes it as "lncRNA (ENSMPUG00000027510.1)". Lineage: Eukaryota; Metazoa; Chordata; Mammalia; Carnivora; Mustelidae. The record is from RNAcentral.
GUUGGUACUGCAUCCCAGGCUACCACUGAUUCAUUCAAAAUAUUUGAGUCUGUACCACGUGGCAAGAACUGCCCUCUAUACUGAUCUGGGGAGCAGAAAGAAGAGAUGUCUUGAAGCAGUCAAGGGAACAAGGGGUCAAGUUGUUCCCUUGGGGGCCAGAUCACCUUGGGCCAUGAUAGAAGAUUUGGAUUUCAUUCUGUAAGCAUGGGCAGCCAUUGCAGUAAGAAGGAGGCAUUUGGUCCACAAUUGCAUCCCUCAAAAUAAGCCUCCAGGAUGGACCCUUUGGCCCUAAACCAUCCCUGAACAAAUCAGAGAUCCACGGAUCCUACAUUUCCUUUCCUGGAAGCAUCAAUGCUUCAAGUCACUGACCCCAGCUUCCUCUUCCCUUUGCCAGUGUGAAACAUUCAUUCUUUAUUCCCGUCCAGGGCUGCCUCUCCCCACUUCUCUGAAUAAAGUUGAAAAUGGAGCUAUAAGAACGG